GAUGAACGCUGGCGGCGUGCCUAAUACAUGCAAGUCGAGCGAACGGACGAGAAGCUUGCUUUUCUGAUGUUAGCGGCGGACGGGUGAGUAACACGUGGAUAACCUACCUAUAAGACUGGGAUAACUUCGGGAAACCGUAGCUAAUACCGGAUCAUAUUUUGAACCGCAUGGUUCAAAAGUGAAAGACGGUCUUGCUGUCACUUAUAGAUGGAUCCGCGCUGCAUUAGCUAGUUGGUAAGGUAACGGCUUACCAAGGCAACGAUGCAUAGCCGACCUGAGAGGGUGAUCGGCCACACUGGAACUGAGACACGGUCCAGACUCCUACGGGAGGCAGCAGUAGGGAAUCUUCCGCAAUGGGCGAAAGCCUGACGGAGCAACGCCGCGUGAGUGAUGAAGGUCUUCGGAUCGUAAAACUCUGUUAUUAGGGAAGAACAUAUGUGUAAGUAACUGUGCACAUCUUGACGGUACCUAAUCAGAAAGCCACGGCUAACUACGUG
RNAcentral lists this ribosomal RNA (497 nucleotides) under uncultured bacterium. RNAcentral's name for it is "partial 16S ribosomal RNA". It matches the Rfam family "Bacterial small subunit ribosomal RNA", at positions 28 to 507 of the family's 1533-position model. The record is from RNAcentral.